RNA transcript from Nothobranchius furzeri (turquoise killifish), 1464 nucleotides. It is a transcript of the gene named 2,4-dienoyl CoA reductase 2, peroxisomal, with no coding region annotated. NCBI's taxonomy places the organism in Eukaryota, Metazoa, Chordata, Actinopteri, Cyprinodontiformes, Nothobranchiidae. The record is from RefSeq and is a predicted model, not a curated record.
UACUUCAUUACCCAUGAUGCAACAGUUAACAGAUGACGGCAGAAGUAAAUGUGCAAAGUUCAUUUCUGUCCGUAAAGAAAAAGUCCUUGCUUCGCCAGAGGAACAGAUAAAUGUAGACAGGUGGCUUUGGCUUCAAGUCCUUGUUGACCCACGUUUGUUUCGUAAGAGAAGAACUUUGUUGAGCUGCAAAAACCAGCAUGGCAGAAGCAAAAGCUAAACAAGAGCUGCCUGAAGACGUUGGCUCUGACGACUGUCUGACGUCAUACACCUACAUUUACAGCCCAGAUUUACUAAAAGAUCAGGUUGCUUUUAUCACAGGAGGAGGAUCUGGAAUUGGACUCCGCAUAGCUGAGGUCUUCAUGAGGCAUGGCUGUGAUACAGUGAUUGCCAGCAGGAACUUGGACAAACUGAAGGAGGCAGCCAAGAAGCUGUGUGCUGCAUCAGGACGCCGCUGCCUUCCCGUGUGCAUCGACGUGAGGCAGCCUGAGAGCAUCGUUGCUGCUGUGGAUGAAACAAUCAAGCAGUUUGGUCACAUAGACAUCCUUAUCAACAAUGCUGCUGGAAACUUCAUCUGCCCAGCCUCUGCUCUCUCCUUCAAUGCCUUCAGGACCGUGAUGGAGAUAGACACCAUGGGCACAUUCAACACCAGUAAAGUAGUUUAUGAGAAGUGGUUUAAGGAUCAUGGUGGAAACAUUGUCAACAUCUCUGCAACUCUUGCAUACAGAGGGCAGGCUCUACAGGUGCAUGCUGGCUCUGCCAAGGCAGCAAAUGACGCCAUGACAAAACACCUGGCUGUAGAGUGGGGGCCCAAUGGUGUGAGGGUAAACGCUGUGGCUCCAGGUCCCAUCUCCGGCACAGAGGGCUUUCGCCGACUCGGUGGUUCUCAUAUGGAGGCGACUGAGUCCUUCCGGUCCAUACCUUUGCAGCGAGCUGGAAACAAGACUGAGAUGGCCCACUGCACGCUUUUCCUGGCUAGCCGAGCAUCUUCCUACAUGACUGGUGCCAUCAUGGUGGCGGAUGGUGGCGCCUGGCUCACCUCAGCCAAUGACGUCUCCAUGCUGUUGGGUAUAGCCUCCUCUAAAUCUGCUAGGCUCUGAGCUGGGGCUCUCCUGUCCUCCUCCGGACCCAGGUGUGUUGGAGGAGGCACAGCUUGAGAUCCAGGAGAGACAGUUAUUGGUCAUCUGAAAAGAAGAGAGACAAGUGAACAAGUGAAACUCUUUUUGCAGGAGCACUGAUGUGCAUUGUGACAUAAAUCAAUGUUUUCCAUUGUGCACCAGGGCCGUUAUUCCUGUUAUCAUGGUGGUUAGUAUAGGACUACACUGAUAUAACAUACUGUAUUAUCACUAGCUGUCAUAUAAGUUAUGAAUGAAGUGAUGUAAUAACUGAAAAGUUGUUUUCACAUUCCACUGUUCAGUUUUAUGACAAAUGUGUGUAAUUAAUAAUAAAUGAAUGAAUGACAAACGA